Molecule: long non-coding RNA, 852 nt
Filed under: Homo sapiens (human)
Lineage: Eukaryota; Metazoa; Chordata; Mammalia; Primates; Hominidae
Description: novel transcript
Source: RNAcentral
AGGAGCCUACCUUUACUUAGCCUCACAACAUGGGCCUUAGCUUUAGCACUUAAUCUGCACAAAUACCUGGCUUAAGUGUUAUGACUGACUGGCUAUUCAACCAAACCAUACAAAUGACCAAUUCGGUAAGAAAGCAUGAACUUCAGUGUUGAACCAAAUCAACCAACCUCCUCAAUCCAAAUGGAGAGGAUAACAAAGGAAGCUGAGGAAGUCUGUUCUGGAGGCACCAUGACAAAGCACCAGACAGAAAGCAGUCACGUGUGGGGAGAUGAGCAGAGACACCACUUCUCAAGCACCUGAUUAUUCUUUCUCAGUAUUUAGAAGCAAAAAUUAUCCUUAAGAAAAACAACCGCAAACGCAACACAGGCUACACAGAUGAGAAAAUGGGCUCAUGAAACACUGCACUAAACAGUCACAGGACCAAGAUAUAGAUUCCUAUUUCCAGGUGAACAUAAAGAUUUUUCAGUCAAUAGCAUACACUGAACAUUGCUUCUAUAUAAAGAGCAGUGUUUCUCAAAGUGUGGUCCUUGGAACAGCAGCAUCAGUAGCAUCGGCUUGCAGAGCUCAAACCAUUACACCAUUCAGAAGCUGGCUUUGGUAUUACUUCAAGUUAUUCAAAACAGUCACCACUUGCUGAGCCUCUGAUGUCUCAUCUGUUGAAUGGAUUUCAAGAGAGAAGGCUGAAAAGGAAGGUGACUGGAAUAUUAAGAACUGUGAGAUAUUCUGAGGAAACUCUAAUUUGUAAAUUGGUAGAAAUGCCAGUAAUUUGUUGGGAAUUGAAGACCCUCUGUAUUCAAGAGCGAAGCUUGGCAGCUGUGCACUGUUGUUUUAUAAAUCAAUAUUACAUCUGAA